Molecule: ribosomal RNA, 329 nt
Filed under: uncultured bacterium
Lineage: Bacteria
Also listed under: 1 other name
Description: bacterial SSU rRNA
Rfam family: Bacterial small subunit ribosomal RNA
Source: RNAcentral
CUAAUACCGGAUACUGACCCUUGCAGGCAUCUGCGAGGUUCGAAAGCUCCGGCGGUGAAGGAUGAGCCCGCGGCCUAUCAGCUUGUUGGUGAGGUAAUGGCUCACCAAGGCGACGACGGGUAGCCGGCCUGAGAGGGCGACCGGCCACACUGGGACUGAGACACGGCCCAGACUCCUACGGGAGGCAGCAGUGGGGAAUAUUGCACAAUGGGCGAAAGCCUGAUGCAGCGACGCCGCGUGAGGGAUGACGGCCUUCGGGUUGUAAACCUCUUUCAGCAGGGAAGAAGCGAAAGUGACGGUACCUGCAGAAGAAGCGCCGGCUAACUACG